Molecule: ribosomal RNA, 484 nt
Filed under: uncultured bacterium
Lineage: Bacteria
Description: partial 16S ribosomal RNA
Rfam family: Bacterial small subunit ribosomal RNA
Source: RNAcentral
AUUGAACGCUGGCGGCAGGCCUAACACAUGCAAGUCGAGCGGAUGGAGGGUGCUUUUUCCUGUAUUCAGUGGCGGACGGGUGAGUAAUGACUAGGAGUAUGACUGGCAGUUGGGGCUAACGUACGGGAAGGGAAGCUAAUAUAGCAUACGAUGUGAUUGAGAAAGUGGUGGAUCUUAGGAGCAAGCGCUACCAGAUGAGCCUAGGUCGGAUUAGCUAGUUGGUGGGGUAAAGGGCUACCAAGGCGACGAUCCAUAACUGCUCUGAGAGGCUGAUCAGUCACACUGGAACUGAGACACGGUCCAGACUCCUACGGGAGGCAGCAGUGGGGAAUAUUGCGCAAUGGGCGAAAGCCUGACGCAGCAACGCCGCGUGUGUGAAGAAGGUCUUCGGAUUGUAAAACUCUGUUAUUAGGGAAGAAGAGAUGUGAGAGUAACCGUGCAUGUCUUGACGUUACCUACAGAAUAAGCCCCGGCUAACUACGUG